UGGGGGUAGUUUAUAAAAUGUUAAUUUGUCAGAUUAAAGAGGGUGAUAUUCCACAAU
This 57-nucleotide transfer RNA is filed under the name Mesabolivar sp. ITV1036I2. RNAcentral's name for it is "tRNA-Asp". Lineage: Eukaryota; Metazoa; Arthropoda; Arachnida; Araneae; Pholcidae. The record is from RNAcentral.